This 253-nucleotide ribosomal RNA is filed under the name uncultured bacterium. RNAcentral's name for it is "partial 16S ribosomal RNA". It matches the Rfam family "Bacterial small subunit ribosomal RNA", at positions 524 to 776 of the family's 1533-position model. The record is from RNAcentral.
UACGAAGGGGGCUAGCGUUGCUCGGAUUGACUGGGCGUAAAGGGCGCGUAGGCGGUUCGUUCAGUCAGACGUGAAAUUCCUGGGCUCAACCUGGGGGCUGCGUUUGAUACGUGCGGGCUUGAGUUCGGAAGAGGGUCGUGGAAUUCCCAGUGUAGAGGUGAAAUUCGUAGAUAUUGGGAAGAACACCGGUGGCGAAGGCGGCGACCUGGUCCGAUACUGACGCUGAGGCGCGAAAGCGUGGGGAGCAAACAGG